RNAcentral lists this ribosomal RNA (504 nucleotides) under uncultured bacterium. Its description in RNAcentral is "bacterial SSU rRNA". It matches the Rfam family "Bacterial small subunit ribosomal RNA", at positions 43 to 507 of the family's 1533-position model. The record is from RNAcentral.
CGUGCCUAAUACAUGCAAGUCGAACGCACUCUCGUUAGAUUGAAGGAGCUUGCUCCUGAUUGAUAAACAUUUGAGUGAGUGGCGGACGGGUGAGUAACACGUGGGUAACCUGCCCUAAAGUGGGGGAUAACAUUUGGAAACAGAUGCUAAUACCGCAUAAAACCUAACACCGCAUGGUGUAGGGUUGAAGGAUGGUUUCGGCUAUCACUUUAGGAUGGACCCGCGGUGCAUUAGUUAGUUGGUGAGGUAAAGGCUCACCAAGACCGUGAUGCAUAGCCGACCUGAGAGGGUAAUCGGCCACACUGGGACUGAGACACGGCCCAGACUCCUACGGGAGGCAGCAGUAGGGAAUCUUCCACAAUGGACGAAAGUCUGAUGGAGCAACGCCGCGUGAGUGAAGAAGGUUUUCGGAUCGUAAAACUCUGUUGUUGGAGAAGAAUGUAUCUGAUAGUAACUGAUCAGGUAGUGACGGUAUCCAACCAGAAAGCCACGGCUAACUACGUG